AUCACUUUGAGCCAACUCUAGCCCAAGCCCCGUAUAACUGUACUACCUACAAUACUACAACCAAACCAUUUACUUACUAUAAAAGUAUAGGCGAUAGAAAUUUCACCCUAGGCGCAAUAGAUAUAGUACCGCAAGGGAAAGACAAAAACUUAAUAAAGCACAAAAAAGCAAAGACAAACCCUUCUACCUUCUGCAUAAUGAAUUAACUAGAAAUAACUUUAUAUAGAGAACUUCAAUAAUGCCCCCCGAAACCAAGCGAGCUACCCAAAGACAGCCAAAAGAGCACACCCGUCUAUGUGGCAAAAUAGUGGGAAGAUCUAUGGGUAGUGGUGAUAAACCUAUCGAGCCUGGUGAUAGCUGGUUGUCCAAGACAGAAUCUCAGUUCAACCUUAAAUUUAUUUACAGAUCCACUAAUCUUCUCGUAAAUUUAAUUGUUAGUCUAAAGAGGGACAGCUCUUUAGACUUUAGGAAAUAACCUUUUAUAGAGAGUAAGACAUCCCACCACUACAGUUGGCCUAAAAGCAGCCAUCAAUUAAGAGUGCGUUCAAGCUCAAUACCUAAUCAUCCUUGAUCCUACUAAUAACACCAAACUCCUAUAACACAUUGGACUAAUCUAUUACCCAAUAGAAGCAACAAUGUUAGUAUAAGUAACAUGAAAUUAUUCUCCUCGCAUAAACUUAUCUCAGACCGAAACAACUACUGCUAGUUAACAGUCCAAUCACCAUACACUAUAUCUUAACAUAACAUUACCUAAACUGUUAACCCAACACAGGUAUGCAUCCAGGAAAGAUCAAAAGAAGUAAGAGGAACUCGGCAAACUCCACCCCCGCCUGUUUACCAAAAACAUCACCUCUAGCAUUACUAGUAUUAGAGGCACUGCCUGCCCGGUGACACAUGUUUAACGGCCGCGGUACCCUGACCGUGCAAAGGUAGCAUAAUCACUUGUUCUCUAAAUAAGGACUUGUAUGAAUGGCCACACGAGGGUUCAACUGUCUUUUACUUCCAAUCAGUGAAAUUGACCUAUCCGUGAAGAGGCGGAUAUAACUUAAUAAGACGAGAAGACCCUAUGGAGCUUAAAUUUAAUAGUACAAACUAACAAUUUAAAAACCAACAGGCAGCAACCCACCGUCCAUGUACUAUGAAUUUUGGUUGGGGUAACCUCGGAGUAUAAUAUAGCCUCCGAAAAAACAUAUACCAAGACCUCACCAGUCUAAGUAAAUAUAUACACCUAUUGACCCAAUAACUUGAUCAACGGACUAAGUUACCCUAGGGAUAACAGCGCAAUCCUAUUUUAGAGUCCAUAUCGACAAUAGGGUUUACGACCUCGAUGUUGGAUCAAGACAUCCUAAUGGUGCAGCCGCUAUUAAGGGUUCGUUUGUUCAACGAUUAAAGUCUUACGUGAUCUGAGUUCAGACCGGAGAAAUCCAGGUCGGUUUCUAUCUAUUAAAUAUUUCUCCCAGUACGAAAGGACAAGAGAAAUAGAGCCCACUUCACAAAGCGCCCUCACAAAUCGAAUGACCAUUAUCUCAAUUCC
This 1534-nucleotide ribosomal RNA is filed under the name Alouatta caraya (black howler monkey). RNAcentral describes it as "16S ribosomal RNA". It matches the Rfam family "Bacterial large subunit ribosomal RNA". Lineage: Eukaryota; Metazoa; Chordata; Mammalia; Primates; Atelidae. The record is from RNAcentral.